Molecule: ribosomal RNA, 648 nt
Filed under: Triticum aestivum (bread wheat)
Lineage: Eukaryota; Viridiplantae; Streptophyta; Magnoliopsida; Poales; Poaceae
Description: partial small subunit ribosomal RNA
Source: RNAcentral
AUGCGGGAGAAGUACAAUGGAGGCGACCAAAUUCGCACGGCAAGCGGUUCUGGUAUGGAUAUCACACACAUUGGUAGUUCAAUUGUUAAAACCCCCGUGAAAAAUUUACACUUGACCAAUGUCUUGCAUGUUCCUCAAACCUCUAAAAAUCUUGUUUCCGUUCAUCGAUUCACUCUUGAUAACAAUGUUCUUAUUGAAUUCUAUCCUUAUUUUUUCUUGGUUAAGGACUUGAAAACAAGGAGAGUCAUUCUUAGAGGACGGUGCGUGGGAGGACUCUACGCACUCAUAUCAUUAUCAUCAUCAUCAUCUUCAUGGUCCAAUAAACAAGCAAAUAUUGUCACCAAGCUAUCUACAUCAAGGUGGCAUAGUCGUUUAGGUCAUCCAUCUUCAGUCAUAGUUAGAUAUGUUCUUAGCAAAAAUAAACUCUCUUAUGAGCCUAGUAGUGAGUCAGUUUGUGAUCCGUGUCAACAAGCAAAAAGUCAUCAAUUACCUUACCCAAUUUCUACUAGUGUGUCUACUGCCCCUUUACAACUUAUAUUUUCAGAUGUAUGGGGGCCAACUCCUAUUUCAGUUGGUAGAUUUUCCUAUUAUGUAAGUUUUAUUGAUGACUGUAGUAAAUUUACUUGGAUUUAUCUGUUGAAAAAAUGA